This 503-nucleotide ribosomal RNA is filed under the name uncultured bacterium. Its description in RNAcentral is "bacterial SSU rRNA". It matches the Rfam family "Bacterial small subunit ribosomal RNA", at positions 15 to 507 of the family's 1533-position model. The record is from RNAcentral.
GAUCCUGGCUCAGGAUGAACGCUAGCUACAGGCUUAACACAUGCAAGUCGAGGGGCAGCAUGAACAUAGCUUGCUAUGUUUGAUGGCGACCGGCGCACGGGUGCGUAACACGUAUCCAAUCUACCCAUGGCUCGGGGAUAGCCUUUCGAAAGAAAGAUUAAUACCCGAUGGUCUCGGUUUAAGGCAUCUUAGACUGAGUAAAGAUUUAUCGGUGACGGAUGAGGAUGCGUACGAUUAGCUUGUUGGCGGGGUAACGGCCCACCAAGGCAACGAUCGUUAGGGGUUCUGAGAGGAAGGUCCCCCACACUGGAACUGAGACACGGUCCAGACUCCUACAGGAGGCAGCAGUGAGGAAUAUUGGUCAAUGGACGAGAGUCUGAACCAGCCAAGUCGCGUGAAGGAAGACUGCCCUAAGGGUUGUAAACUUCUUUUGUAUGGGAAUAAAAAAUGGGACGUGUCCCAUAUUGUAUGUACCAUACGAAUAAGGAUCGGCUAACUCCGUG